Molecule: ribosomal RNA, 1394 nt
Filed under: uncultured Lactobacillus sp.
Lineage: Bacteria; Bacillati; Bacillota; Bacilli; Lactobacillales; Lactobacillaceae
Description: bacterial SSU rRNA
Rfam family: Bacterial small subunit ribosomal RNA
Source: RNAcentral
GUUUGAUCCUGGCUCAGGACGAACGCUGGCGGCGUGCCUAAUACAUGCAAGUCGAGCGAGCCGAACUAAUUGAUUACCUUCGGGUAUGAAGUUAGGGAAGCGAGCGGCGGAUGGGUGAGUAACACGUGGGUAACCUACCCUAUAGUCUGGGAUACCACUUGGAAACAGGUGCUAAUACCGGAUAAAAGGAGAGAUCACAUGAUUUCUUUUUGAAAGGCGGCGUAAGCUGUCGCUAAAGGAUGGACCCGCGGUGCAUUAGCUAGUUGGUAAGGUAACGGCUUACCAAGGCAACGAUGCAUAGCCGAGUUGAGAGACUGAUCGGCCACAUUGGGACUGAGACACGGCCCAAACUCCUACGGGAGGCAGCAGUAGGGAAUCUUCCACAAUGGACGCAAGUCUGAUGGAGCAACGCCGCGGUGGAAGGUGAAGAAGGUUUUCGGAUCGUAAAGCUUCUGUUGUUGGUGAAGAAAGAUAGUGAGAGUAACUGCUCAUUAUUUGCCGGUAAUCAACCAGAAAGUCACGGCUAACUACGUGCCAGCAGCCGCGGUAAUACGUAGGUGGCAAGCGUUGUCCGGAUUUAUUGGGCGUAAAGCGAGCGCAGGCGGAAAGAUAAGUCAGAUGUGAAAGCCCUCGGCUUAACCGAGGAAUAGCAUCGGAAACUGUCUUUCUUGAGUGCAGAAGAGGAGAGUGGAACUCCAUGUGUAGCGGUGGAAUGCGUAGAUAUAUGGAAGAACACCAGUGGCGAAGGCGGCUCUCUGGUCUGUAACUGACGCUGAGGCUCGAAAGCAUGGGUAGCGAACAGGAUUAGAUACCCUGGUAGUCCAUGCUGUAAACGAUGAGUGCUAAGUGGUUUGGGGAGGUUUCCGCCUCUCAGUGCUGCAGCUAACGCAUUAAGCACUCCGCCUGGGGAGUACGACCGCAAGGUCAAAACUCAAAGGAAUUUGACGGGGGCCCGCACAAGCGGUGGAGCAUGGUGGUUUAAUUCGAAGCAACGCGAAGAACCUUACCAGGUCUUGACAUCUAGUGCCAACCUAAGAGAUUAGGCGUUCCCUUCGGGGACACUAAGACAGGUGGUGCAUGGCUGUCGUCAGCUCGUGUCGUGAGAAUUGUUUGGGUUAAGUUCCCGCAACGAAGCGAACCCUUAUUAUUAGUUGCCAGCAUUAAGUUGGGCACUCUAAUGAGACUGCCGGUGACAAACCGGAGGAAGGUGGGGAUGACGUCAAGUCAUCAUGCCCCUUAUGACCUGGGCUACACACGUGCUACAAUGGGCAGUACAACGAGGAGCGAACUUGUGAAGGCAAGCGAAUCUCUGAAAGCUGUUCUCAGUUCGGACUGUAGGCUGCAACUCGCCUACACGAAGCUGGAAUCGCUAGUAAUCGCGGAUCAGCACGCCG